Molecule: long non-coding RNA, 1225 nt
Filed under: Phoenix dactylifera (date palm)
Lineage: Eukaryota; Viridiplantae; Streptophyta; Magnoliopsida; Arecales; Arecaceae
Description: long non-coding RNA (PDAC_LNC001478)
Source: RNAcentral
CCUAGAUUCUUUUCAUUUCCACUCCUAUUUCAUUUGAAACUCUCUCUAAGCUCCUUCCCUUCUAAAAUCAUCCCCUUGAAGCCUUGAAUCUCACUUCCUUUUGAUCGAUUUGGUCUUUAAUGGCUCCACGGAAGCAACUCACCCAAAUGAUGAAGCAAACACAAACCCUUGAGUGGAUGGAACGACAUUCCAAGGCAAGAUCUGACCCUCAACCUCCACCUUAUGAAGAAAUAGUACCUAUUCUUCCUCAACCCUAUCAGAGUAAGGUUCCCCUCUCCUCUUGAAUUAUCACAAUCGGGGGUAACAUUGACUUCAAGUUUUUGGAGUAGGAAGGAUUUUCAAUUGAGAGAAAGUUGAAGAAACUUAGGUGGAAAUUCGUCUGCUCUUUGAAUGUACCCACCUACCCCAACGUGUUGAGAGAAUUCUAUGGUCAUGUGAAGUUCAGGGUAGGGAGUUUAGAAUCCAUGGUGAAGGGUGUCCUCAUUUUGCUCAAUGUGUUUAGCUUAGGUAGAUUAUUGUAGAUGCUAACUGGUGGCUCCUCAACGGACAGAUUAGAUGAGCAAAGGAUCAGCCUCCAAUAUAUUUUAGGAUGUGAGGAUGUCAGUGAGCUGGAGGAGGUAAGCACUAACUAGUUAUCAGUUGAGAUGAGACUCUUUCAUUCAUAUGAUUAGAUGGAUUUUUUUCCUAAGAAAGAGGUUUGAUUUUGUGUUCGAAAGCGACAUUGUCAUGAUGUUUCAUAUAGUUAGGGAGUAUCCCCUGAAUAUGCUUGCACUAAUGUUCUGACAGAUGCACGAGGCAGCAAGUAGGUCAAAGGUUUCACUAUCCUAUGGUAUUGAUCUUGACUUUAGUGUUCAGGGAACACAGAAUUGAGCUGGAGGGGGAGACUUCAAGGACAUUGAUGCACGCAAACACCUACAAUGACCGCUCACUGUAUUGGAUGGGAAAUAACAAGGUUGAUAGUUAUUGGGUAAGAAGAGGUGCUAGUAGAUAGCAUGAGCCUGGAGGCAAUGAUGUGCAUGCACAACUAGAGAUUGCACCCAGUGAGCUAGCAGUUCCUACUGAUCAGAGUACUAAACCACCUACCUCCAUGGGGAUUCCAAAGCAGACAACAGAGCUAGAGCUUCUAUUUGAUUAUGGAGAAGGAGAAUUUGCUGCAUCUUUUGACAUCAAGUCUCAGCCAUAGUAUCUAGAGAACAACCUUGAUAAGACGAUUAGACUGGAUGAA